This 206-nucleotide ribosomal RNA is filed under the name uncultured bacterium. Its description in RNAcentral is "partial 16S ribosomal RNA". It matches the Rfam family "Bacterial small subunit ribosomal RNA", at positions 568 to 774 of the family's 1533-position model. The record is from RNAcentral.
CGCGCAGGCGGUGAUGUAAGUCUGAGGUGAAAACCCGAAGCUCAACUUCGGGACUGCCUUGGAUACUGCGUCACUUGAGGAUAGGAGAGGCAAGGGGAAUUCCACGUGUAGCGGUGAAAUGCGUAGAGAUGUGGAGGAACACCUGUGGCGAAGGCGCCUUGCUGGCCUAUUUCUGACGCUGAGGCGCGAAGCGUGGGGAGCAAACA